Long non-coding RNA from Drosophila virilis, 446 nucleotides. RefSeq lists it as uncharacterized. Lineage: Eukaryota; Metazoa; Arthropoda; Insecta; Diptera; Drosophilidae. The record is from RefSeq and is a predicted model, not a curated record.
UUUACAUCAUAAAUAAAUAUGGCUGAGUUGCGAGAGCCGAGUCUGCGUGGUAGAGCAACGCAAAGUUUUGGCGCGCGUUCUUCGCUCAGACACGUUGUUCCUAAAUUCGCAACAGUGACGUCAGAGGCCAGAAAUUGAGCCAAUACACACGAGAUCAUAAACCAGCAUGAGAAGCGACAAUUACAACUAAUAUUGACAGCAAGUCUUGCCUUAUGGCUAAUAUGGAUGAAAAACUAUUUAAGAAUGUCUUUUCCCAAAAAGUAUUCGGCUAAACUGGUUUCCCUCCCCAUCUACGCUGGAGAAUAUUUCCUUUUCGUCUAAGAUACAAACACGAAUAAUCGGUAAAUUUUAAAAAUGUUCUCUACUGUGUUCAGAAAAGUAUUGUGUGUAUCAUCCAAAAAUUAGUUUAUUUUUAUAAAUAAGCGUUAUAGCUCUUAAAAUUUAUA